Molecule: small RNA, 141 nt
Filed under: Micromonospora nigra
Lineage: Bacteria; Bacillati; Actinomycetota; Actinomycetes; Micromonosporales; Micromonosporaceae
Description: c-di-AMP sequence
Rfam family: c-di-AMP riboswitch aptamer (ydaO/yuaA leader)
About the family: This family represents a conserved RNA structure found upstream of the ydaO and yuaA genes in Bacillus subtilis and related genes in other bacteria.
Source: Rfam by way of RNAcentral
CGCACCGACCCGCUCAAUCGUGGAAACACGAACCGGGGACCCACUGCACCACUGGGGUGAAUCCGCGAGCCACGGCCGCGGUAGGGCGAUCUUCCCGCCCGAAUCCGUCAGCUAACCCGGUCGGCGGCUGCGGAAGGAGUU